Molecule: ribosomal RNA, 512 nt
Filed under: Neope pulaha (veined labyrinth)
Lineage: Eukaryota; Metazoa; Arthropoda; Insecta; Lepidoptera; Nymphalidae
Description: partial 16S ribosomal RNA
Source: RNAcentral
GUCUUUUUGAGUGGAUAAUUUAAAGUCUAAUCUGCCCACUGAUAAUAUUAAAGGGCUGCAGUAUAUUGACUGUACAAAGGUAGCAUAAUCAUUAGUUUUUUAAUUGGAAACUUGUAUGAAGGAUUGGAUGAAAUAUAGACUGUCUCUAAUUUAUUAUUAGAAAUUUAUUUUUUAGUUAAAAAGCUAAAAUAUAUUUAAAAGACGAGAAGACCCUAUAGAGUUUUAUAAUUAAAUUUAUUUGAAAAUUAUAUAAAAUUUUUAUUAUUAAAUAAAUUUAAUUAUUAUGUUGGGGUGACAGAAAAAUUAAAUAAACUUUUUUUAAAAAUUAAACAUAAAUAAAUGACUAAAUGAUCCAUUAAUAAUGAUUAUAAGAAAAAAUUACCUUAGGGAUAACAGCGUAAUAUUUUUUUUUAGUUCGAAUAAAAAAAAAAGUUUGCGACCUCGAUGUUGGAUUAAGAUAAAAUUUAAAUGCAAAAGUUUAAAAUUUUGAUCUGUUCGAUCAUUAAAAUCUU